RNAcentral lists this ribosomal RNA (467 nucleotides) under uncultured bacterium. Its description in RNAcentral is "partial 16S ribosomal RNA". It matches the Rfam family "Bacterial small subunit ribosomal RNA", at positions 28 to 507 of the family's 1533-position model. The record is from RNAcentral.
GACGAACGCUGGCGGCGUGCUUAACACAUGCAAGUCGAACGGAAAGGCCUCUUUCGGGGGGUACUCGAGUGGCGAACGGGUGAGUAACACGUGAGUAACCUGCCCUUGACUUUGGGAUAACUUCAGGAAACUGGGGCUAAUACCGGAUAGGAGCUCCUGCUGCAUGGUGGGGGUUGGAAAGUUUCGGCGGUUGGGGAUGGACUCGCGGCUUAUCAGCUUGUUGGUGGGGUAGUGGCUUACCAAGGCUUUGACGGGUAGCCGGCCUGAGAGGGUGACCGGCCACAUUGGGACUGAGAUACGGCCCAGACUCCUACGGGAGGCAGCAGUGGGGAAGAUUGCACAAUGGGUGGAAGCCGGAUGCAGCAACGCCGUGUGUGGGAGGACGGCCUUCGGGUUGUAAACCGCUUUCGCUCAUGACGAAGCUUUGUGUGACGGUAGUGGGUAAAGAAGCACCGGCUAACUACGUG